UAACUACUAUAUAUUUUCAGAAUCCAUGAUUCUUACAUCUUUAUGAGAUUUAAUUAAUUUAUCUUUUAAAACAACUUUUUAAUCGCCUGUCUUGCUAUCCUGGUUCCUCCUUCCACAGGAAGCCCUGGCUGCCUUUGGCACUUGUACUGGUCUGUGUUUCAGGGUGUGCCUGGUCUGAGGCCAAGGCUCUGGGAAGCAGGGGUGGUUUACUAAAGACAGAAGAAGAUUGGAGAGAGGUGACUGGGUCCCUUCUUUCUUCACCGCUUUAUGCUUUUCACUCCAUUUCUACCUUGACACAUUUCUGAAACUUGGCUUUUAACUCUUGUUUGGAGCAGUUUCUGCCUUGCUUGGGUCUAAUAGUUUUCCUGGAAAUGCUGAGAAGAUGUCUAAGUUGCUUCCAGUUCUGAACACCUUCCCUAGACCUCUGCAGGACCCUUAUAAUAGAGUUGCUUUAGAAGAGCACUUUAAUUAGAUAAUGGCCUUUGGACUAGGUCACAGGCAUGCACAGUACAGGCUUCUCAGUGGUCCCAAAGGACCAGCAAUGGAGCAUCUCUCAGCCCGUGCUGAUUCUUUGCAUUUUAAACUGAUAUAGCAG
This 595-nucleotide long non-coding RNA is filed under the name Bos taurus (domestic cattle). Its description in RNAcentral is "long non-coding RNA NONBTAT026461". Lineage: Eukaryota; Metazoa; Chordata; Mammalia; Artiodactyla; Bovidae. The record is from RNAcentral.